AUAAACAUGCUCUGUGAGUGGGAGAAUUCGAAUGCUGCAUGCCAGCUGACUUUCUGUCACCCACACUGACCCUCUCAAUACUGCAUGCUGAGCUCCACUAACUCCCAUACUAUGUAAUUGAUGGAGUGGAACAAACUUCACAGCAAGUUAAAUGCAGACUUUAUUCAAGCUCCAAGGGACUUGGAAAGACCUUCAGCCCAGUCAGCCCAGAUGAGCCCACCUCUGUGAGCCCCUUGAUUUGGAAUGGCGGCUUGUAUGUCUGUGUCAACAGGAAGCUCACUGCAUUGUGACUCAGGUAAGCCCUGGACCAAGCCACAAAGGUAGCAAGAUUGGUUUUCGGAGUUUCUCGUAGGCUGUUCUUCUUGCCUUCUGUCACACUCACUCCAUCAGGGCCUGUUUGCUGCCCAGAUGAGCCACACACAUCGGCUGGAUGAAAUGAAACUUGCCCUUCUUGUCCUACAUGUCUGUAUCUAAAAGUAUACAUUUUGGAAAGAGGCCUUAUUAAUCUAAAUACUUUUUAUUUUAAGGUUCCACAUUUUCCCAAAUGUAUGAGCCUCUAACCUAAGACAUGUCCAAAAGUUCUUUACUUACAGGGACAUGAUCUAGGGGCUUAGAGGGCCCUGGAAAAGUAAGAUAAUAUAUUUUAAAGACCCAAUUUUACACAAAAGAACAAAAAGAGGAAGAACUAUAGCAGAAUGCCACUGCUGUGGAUUCAGACUUCACCUCCCUGCCCACGGAGAUGAUUGAAGGGGAAAAAGGACAGAACAUGAAACUAACAAGCUUGAGGCCUUAUCAGUGUCUAUAUUGGCAAAUUGAGGAGCGAUGCACUCCCCAAGGCUGAAUGUUUUUCUACCAAUGCAUAAGAUCUACCAGCCACAGACAGGCACUGUUUUUAGAUGGUCUUGAGGCAUCUCAUUUUACAAAGGAUAUAGAAACAGACGGAUGCUAUAUAGAAACUGGUGGAGUGGGGUGGAAGAGAAGACAGAAGACAAGGGUUAUAAUUUAAUCAUAUAAACUCUGGAUGCAAUAACCAAGGUCUCCCCAGAAAGCUGUCAGUGUAUACUUGUGUGGUGAGUAGAUUUCUAAUCAGCUCUAGAAGGGUGGCCAAACACAGCUAAACUGUGUCUUUUAGUAGCAGGAAAAGCAUCUGCUAUAGUUUAGAUGUUUGUCCCCCAAACUCCAUAUUGAAAUUUGACCCCCAAUAUUGGAUGGGGGCCUAAGGGGAGGUGUUUGGAUCCUGAGGACAGAUCCCUCAUGAAUGUCUUGGUACUGUCCUCACAGUGAAGAGUGAGUUCUCACACUAUCAGCUCCCUUGAGAAACUGGUUGUCAAAACAAGCCUGGCACUCCCCAUCCCCUCACCACGUGGUCUCUGCACACACGAGCUUCCAUUCACUUUUCAUCAUGUAUGGAACCAACCCGAGGACCUCAUUGGAAAGAGAGUGGAUGCUGGCACCAUGCUUCUUGUUCAGCCUGCAGAACUGGGAGACAACAUAAACCUCUUUCCUUUAUAACUUACCCAGACUUGAGUAUUUCUUUGUAGCAAUACAAACAGACAAAGCAUCUGACAAGCAAGUUGUUCAAUGAAGAGAUUGUUAGAGCCUGGGGAAGAGUCAUCAUGUUCAAUUGGUACAAGAUGCAAUUAACUAAUAUGAUUUGGGACAGCUGUCUCCAUUGAGGUCACCAGGGUGUCAUGGAGUGAAGCUUCAGGAGGAAGAGCUGACUACUUCCUACCCUGGGCUCCAUUUUUGUCAGGGCUCUACAGAGAGACAGAACUGACAAGAUAUAAAGAGAGGAAUAAAACAAAAAUCCAGAUAUUUCUAUAAAUCCGAUUAUUUGCCAAAUUAAAUGUGAAAGCUUGCCUCUAUCUCUUUCCAUUGUGUGCAGAUAUUUUGCACAGUGUGGAUUUGGUCUCUAGGUGUGAGUGUGCCCUGGACACAAUGCAUAGUAGACAGACAUUGUGCUUCGUUGUAGACACUGUGCUAGGCACGUAUUACACAUUGCCCCAAAUCCUUAUCACAAACACAUCAGGAGUAUGAUGGCCAAGGAGGAAGCUGUGGCUCAGCCCAUUGAGGCUGUAUAUCCAGGGAUCAACAGCCAGUAAGUGGGUGUGCUGACUCCCAAGGCCAAAGCCCACCUACUUGCCAGGUAACUUUCUAGGGAUAUGAAGGCAUUCUAUGUUAUGAUGGUGUGUGUUACAUGAGUGUAUCUGUCUACCAAAAGUGUGCUUCCAUGAUUUAUGCAAUCAGAUAUGGGAUAUAAUGGUAACUCAUGUUUUUACCCAAGGAUUUUUUCAUCACCAUAAAACAUCACUUCUACUCAGCUUUAUUCUAAUGAUUUGAGGCAGAGUUUAAAAAUCUGUCAAAAUUAAAUAUAUUUUUAACAAAGUGAAGACAUCUAGACAAACAGACAAUGGGGUAGGAAAGAUGGAGCUAAAACCAGGGCUGAGUUUCAUUCACAGAUGGCUCGAGGUCCUACUCAAUUACUAGAAAUGGGCUAAAUAUUCACCUCUAAGCUUUCCAAUAAGCAACACAGUAGGAACAAUAUCAACGCAAUAGGCCUCAGAGUCCAUGAGAAAUAAACUAAACAGUUGCUUAGGGAAAGCAGAGCUAUUUCUGGUAAGAAAUUCAGAGAGAGUUUUCCUUUGAGUCUUCAUAAAGAAGACACUCUUCGAUGUAGGGCGCAGCAUUAACUACAUUCUUAUGCAAGUUGUAAAGGCUAAAUCUCAUAAAAUAUUUUAAUAUAGGCCAUAACACCAAGCAGCAAAAAUAGAGAACUAGAGGAUGGGGAGAUGGAAUUUGCUGUGUUUGGAAAUUAAUACGAUUAUUGGUUUUCUGUGUUCUCACUUAAUCCAGGGUUUUAAGGAAUCUAGAGAAAAAUCAGGAUUGAUGUUUUUCAUUAGUGCGUUUUCUUACAACUAAAGCUCUUGAACGCUCUGGGUGGUGGGGAGUUUGGGUUGCACUUGGCUUGUGAUGAGUUUCCCAGGGAGAUGCACUUCUCAGCUGGACCACCUGAGCACACCACCAGGAAAAGCUUUUGGGUAACCCCGGAGGCAGGAAAAUUUCCUAUGGGUGCUUUAUUCAGCUGUAGUCCUAUAAUCAGCCUUUCACAUAAUUUGAUAGAACUGACCAAUGUGAAAUGAAACUGUUAAUAAGAUCCCAAACUCUCCAGAGAAGAGGACUCUCUAUGGCUAGUAGAAACACCCAAAUUAAAAUAAUGGAAACCCAAUGGCCAUAGUUAGAGAAGGGUGGUCACGUGCCUUUUGUUUCUGAAGAGGGCAGUUCCAAACAAACAUGCUGUCUGUGCCUCUGAGCUAAGACAGUUCUUGUAAAGGGAGCUGAGGCACCAUGGCUGGAAAUCUCCUCCAACCAGCCUGAAAGGGCAUCCAAUAGACACUUAUGGUUUGGGGUUUAGAAAGUACCCAGUCAAGACUGUUAUUUUCAACCAAUCAGAAUUGAAUGUGUUCAAAUCAUUCAUUUACAUAUACAGACCUGAUUGAAGACUGUGACAGGAAUUUUCUUUAUUUAAGCCAGACCCUUUCUUUGUUCUCCAGAAUGUGCUUUUGUUUUCCACCAAAGCCUGUGUCUUCCCGAUACCUAGA
Molecule: long non-coding RNA, 3599 nt
Filed under: Homo sapiens (human)
Lineage: Eukaryota; Metazoa; Chordata; Mammalia; Primates; Hominidae
Description: HSALNT0265815
Source: RNAcentral